GAGUAUCCUUCGCUGUCACCUGCCAUCUGACAGCCCAGGAGUGCCAGCUUGGCUUGGCUUUCUCUACCCGAGGAAAAACCAGAGGCAGGAGAAGUGUCCCCUCCAGUCGGUGCGGGUGUCAACAGCAACAGCUGGACCUUUAAAUACGGACCAGGCAACCCCAAACAAUCCGGUCCCGAACCUAAAAAGCAGACCCAAGUUUCCUUUCUCCUCCGCCGCAAAGGAGAGGCUUCCCAGCCCCGCCAGUGAGAGGUUGGACUCUCUGCCCUGUGCUCCGGGGAUCCUGUCUUGAUGACACUUGCAGGGCAGGCUGAAAAGUUUUGAGAUUGAGCAGCUUGGGAGUUUGUGGCCACUGGGUAUGUGUGGCUACCGCGGGUAUGCGAGUGCCAGAUAUUGGCUGAGACGAGCCAGCUUAGACUAAUUGGUACAAGGAAGGCAAGAAAACAAAGACAAAUAAACAGCGGAAGUUAUCAGUAUGGAGGGGAAGUGUAAACUUAAAGGGACCAGACUUUCUAAAUCUUACAACUCAAGAGGUGGCAGCCACCCUCUAGGAGACAAAACUACCCCCACUGACAAGGCUUUAGGAGACCCUAAAGUCUGUUGGCUGUGACGUCAUUAUACCUAAAAUCUGCAUCAUACCUGCAAGCCAACAGUUCAGUGUUUUAACAGAGAACCACCCUGGGAAACAGAAGCAGAUCUGAUGUGUUUCCUAUACAUGUCCUGUGCUCACUUUAUUAAAAAUUCUUUUGCACACAAUGUUUAUGAAAAGGCCAGAUCCUUUUCCAAUACUUAUGCAAAAGCAAAAGAAAACCCCGACACCUCACCUUUCGCUGUUUGUUGUUUCAUAGAUUUAUUUAAAAAAAGAGAAAGUCUAUAGCUAUAAAUCUUUAAAGAGAAAUAUGAAUACAAUUCCCCUAAACUCUCCUCAAAAGAGAAUUCAGUCUACAGCCAUUUAAAUGAUCAUUGCUGCUACAGAAGUGCUUUAAGAGAAUUGCCUGAAACAUCUGUAUUAUAUCGGCCACCUGCCAAUCACAGCUUUACUCUUUCAGGUCACUCUGGGGCUGCCUCUUGCAUGUAUUACUAAAUAAAAUGAUCUCUCUUUCUCUCUCUCUCUCUCUUUUCUAAGAAACAAUUAUGUGCACUUUGAUACACAACCUUCUCUAACCAACUAUAUAUCAAGACCCAAAAAUUGAAGAAAAAUAUUGUUUUCUCAUACAGUGAGCAGAUUUUUCAAUCUACUAAUUCUGUGACUUGUCUUGGUGUGCUAGCCUACACCUUCUCUUUGGUUUAGUUUUCCUUUUCUAUAACACUCUGAAUUGCUAAUCUUACUAACACCUAUGAUGUUACCUGAAAUCAAUCUCCCAUAUGUAUGCUGUAUGCUAUGCUAAGACUCCUGAAAUAUACUUACUCUGUGCUUGUGUAUGUGAAUGUUAAUGCAACUAUUACCUAGAGUGAACUUUAAGCUUUAUUGUUGAAUGUAAUUCCAUUAUAUUUCCUUUUGUACACCUGUGAAAAAGUGGAGUAGUGUUUUUUUAACCAUUGUUAAUCAGCUUUUGUGUAUGAAAGACACAGUAAAAUUUCUUUCUUAAAUCAAGAUACUGGUGAUUCAAGGAAUUUUAUUUAUGGUCCAGCCAAGAGCCAUCUCGUGCCAAGACUUCUGCUGGCAAGGGAAUGGAUAAAGCUGUUUUGUUCUAGUAACAAUUUUGGAAUGAAUACUGACAAUAUUCCAUGAGGGUGUGCAAGCACAAAUUUUACCAAUCUGACCUCUUUGAAGUUGCAGAAUGCUUUGAAAUUCUAAUGGUAUCUGAAAUAUCAGCUCAUAGAAAGUAACAAAAUUUGCUGUCACCUUAAAUAAGACAUUUUAAUUUUGUUAUAAUGUACAAUUUAGAAGUUUGAUUAAUUAUAUUAUCUAUUUAGGCAUUAAUAUAAAAGAGGUAGGAGUCUGUUAUUUAAAAAAAGCAUUAAAUUUAAAAAAAAACUGUCUUGUCUACUUUUAGCUUCAUUCUCCCAUAUUUUGAAGGGUGUGUAACUUCAGCUCUGCAGGAUUGCAU
RNAcentral lists this unclassified non-coding RNA (2051 nucleotides) under Homo sapiens (human). RNAcentral describes it as "protocadherin alpha subfamily C, 2 (ENSG00000291668.1)". The record is from RNAcentral. Lineage: Eukaryota; Metazoa; Chordata; Mammalia; Primates; Hominidae.